This 421-nucleotide ribosomal RNA is filed under the name uncultured bacterium. RNAcentral's name for it is "bacterial SSU rRNA". It matches the Rfam family "Bacterial small subunit ribosomal RNA", at positions 917 to 1341 of the family's 1533-position model. The record is from RNAcentral.
GGGCCCGCACAAGCGGUGGAGCAUGUGGUUUAAUUCGAUGAUACGCGAGGAACCUUACCAGGACUUAAAUGUAAGUUGCAUGAUUCAGAAAUGAAUCUUUCUUCGGACUACUUACAAGGUGCUGCAUGGUUGUCGUCAGCUCGUGCCGUGAGGUGUCAGGUUAAGUCCUAUAACGAGCGCAACCCCUAUCGUUAGUUGCCAGCAAGUAAAGUUGGGAACUCUAGCGAAACUGCCGGUGCAAACCGUGAGGAAGGUGGGGAUGACGUCAAAUCAUCACGGCCCUUACGUUCUGGGCUACACACGUGCUACAAUGGCCGGUACAGAAAGCAGCCACUUUGCGAAAAGGAGCUAAUCUUCAAAGCCGGUCUCAGUUCGGAUCGCAGUCUGCAACUCGACUGCGUGAAGCUGGAAUCGCUAGUAA